CUACGGGUCGCAGCAGUGGGGAAUAUUGCACAAUGGAGGAAACUCUGAUGCAGCAACGCCGCGUGGAGGAUGACGCAUUUCGGUGUGUAAACUCCUUUUAUAUGUCAAGAAAAUGACGGUAGCAUAUGAAUAAGCACCGGCUAACUCCGUGCCAGCAGCCGCGGUAAUACGGAGGGUGCAAGCGUUACUCGGAAUCACUGGGCGUAAAGGACGCGUAGGCGGGUUGGAAAGUCAGGUGUGAAAUCCUACAGCUUAACUGUAGAACUGCACUUAAAACUUCUAAUCUAGAGUAUGGGAGGGGAGGUGGAAUUAGUGGUGUAGGGGUAAAAUCCGUAGAUAUCACUAGGAAUACCUAAAGCGAAGGCGAUCUCCUGGAACAUUACUGACGCUAAGGCGUGAAAGCGUGGGGAGCAAACAGGAUUAGAUACCCUUGUAGUC
Molecule: ribosomal RNA, 438 nt
Filed under: uncultured bacterium
Lineage: Bacteria
Description: partial 16S ribosomal RNA
Rfam family: Bacterial small subunit ribosomal RNA
Source: RNAcentral